GACGUAGGGGACGAGCGUUGUCCGGAUUUACUGGGCGUAAAGAGCGUGUAGGCGGCCACGCAGGUCCGUUGUGAAAACUGGAGGCUCAACUUCCAGCCGUCGACGGAAACCGUGUGGCUAGAGUCCGGAAGAGGAGAGUGGAAUUCCUGGUGUAGCGGUGAAAUGCGCAGAUAUCAGGAAGAACACCAAUGGCGAAGGCAGCUCUCUGGGACGGUACUGACGCUGAGACGCGAAAGCGUGGGGAGCGAACAGG
This 253-nucleotide ribosomal RNA is filed under the name uncultured bacterium. RNAcentral's name for it is "partial 16S ribosomal RNA". It matches the Rfam family "Bacterial small subunit ribosomal RNA", at positions 524 to 776 of the family's 1533-position model. The record is from RNAcentral.